This 805-nucleotide non-coding RNA is filed under the name Rachelia extrusa (blue flash skipper). The record is from RNAcentral. Lineage: Eukaryota; Metazoa; Arthropoda; Insecta; Lepidoptera; Hesperiidae.
UAAAAAUUUAUGAUUUUAAAAUUUUAUUUUUAAUUCAAUUUUACAUACAAAUUUUAGUAUUAAUUUUUCAUUAUUUUAAUAAUAUUAAUUUAAUUAUAUAGCUAUAUGUAUAUAAUAAAUAUUUUUGUAGUAAUUAAAAUUAAAAAUUUAAGAAAUUAAGAUUUAGGGAUAUUAUAAUUAAUAACAAAUUUUGUGCCAGCAGUUGCGGUUAUACAUAAAUUAAAAGUAAAUUUUUUCAGUAUUUAAAUAAAUAAUGUAUUUUUAUUUUAAGUUAAAUAUUAAAUUAUUAAGUGAAAUUUUAAUUUAAUUAAAAUUUAUGUGAAAUUUAUGAUUUUAUAAAUUUUAUUAUAAACUAGGAUUAGAUACCCUAUUAUUAAAAAUUUAAGUUAUAAAUACUAAAAUAGUAAAUAAUUGAUUAUUGAAACUUAAGUAAUUUGGCGGUAUUUUAGUUCAUUUAGAGGAAUCUGUUUAAUAAUUGAUAAUCCACGAAUAAAUUUACUUAAUUUUAAUAUUUUAUAUAUCGUUGUUAAAAAAAUAUUUUUAAAUAAUAAUAAUAUUUAAAAAUUAAAAAAAAAAUUAAUUCAGAUCAAGAUGUAGAUUAUAAUUAAGAAUAUAAUGGAUUACAUUAAUUUUAUUUAAAUGAAUAUUAUUUUGUAAAAAUAAUUGAAAAUGGAUUUAAAUGUAAUUUUAUUUAAUUUAGUAAAAUGAUUAUAAAUUAAAAUAUGUACAUAUUGCCCGUCGCUUUCAUUUAAAAAUUGGAAUAAGUCGUAACAAAGUAGAGGUACUGGAAAGUGUUUCUAGAAAG